CACCGAAGCAACUAUGCCUAGUGUGUAC
RNAcentral lists this small RNA (28 nucleotides) under Bombyx mori (domestic silkworm). RNAcentral describes it as "ovarian small RNA-4662". The record is from RNAcentral. Lineage: Eukaryota; Metazoa; Arthropoda; Insecta; Lepidoptera; Bombycidae.